This 3090-nucleotide long non-coding RNA is filed under the name Lepisosteus oculatus (spotted gar). RNAcentral's name for it is "lncRNA (ENSLOCG00000021788.1)". The record is from RNAcentral. Lineage: Eukaryota; Metazoa; Chordata; Actinopteri; Semionotiformes; Lepisosteidae.
UUUCAAGUGAAACUGUUCUGUAUUUGGAAACCUGAUAUGUUGGCUGCCGUCUUAGGCUAAAUUUAGGGGAGUUAAAGGGAUCACCAAGCUCAGGAAAGAUUCACGGGUCUAGCUGCUCUGACCUAGCUCCUAUGAUUCUCAAUCUCAUGGCUUAUUAACCUAGUGAACAUGGCUAUUUCAUGAACUGGCUCCCCACCCCCUUCUCUUAAUGAAGUAAGCAAUUCCUGGACUGCUCUCAGAAUUGCAUUCUCAUACAUUUCUGGUACAAUGGGUGAUAUAGCCCUAGAGACAGAAAUUGACAUCCUUGAUGAAGAAGGAAAACUUUAUGCAGCUGAUUCUUUGAAUAAUUUAAACAAAUUGAAUGUUUGCAGUGAUCCACAACUGCUUUUAUCUGCAGAGCUGCCCUUUAGCCCCCAGGAUAAUGCUACACAGGAUACCAAGGGAAACCAGAAUGAUACCCAAGAAAGGCCCAAAGCAGCUGAUGGACAUUCUCGCUUGGAAGAAGGAAAAAGCCAUGAAACGUGGUGCAGUUGUUCCAGAUGCUUGUGCAUAUUUCUCAUAAUCCUCGCAGUGGCGCUGGCAGCAAGUCUUGUCCUGUCUUCCUUCGCAAUUUAUUUAACAGCACAAACCACGAGGAAGGUGGAGGAGCUGUCUAGCAACGACUUGUACCAAGAAAUCCUGAAGGAGAUGAAAGGAUGGAAAGUUCUCAUUUCAGAGUAUUUAAACAUCUCAGCAGCUGAUAAUCAAAGGGAGAGUUAAUUCAGAAAGUUCUCCUAAUGGCUCAAUUGACAGAACAUGGAAGGUUGCCAUGUCAUUUUGUGUUACCACUGUGGUGAUUGUCACUUCGUAGUGCAUUCAUCUUGCAGAAAGCAUUAUUUAUAGCAAUGACAUGUCUGCUUUUCUCUUUAAAAGAGGAACCAGACAAUGCAAGCACUGCCCUCUCCUAGAGUAGUUUUUGGAAUUAUGUAAUGAUUACAAUGCGCUGCUCUGCAUAAUUAAGUGCAUCUGCAUGGAGAGAAUGUGGUUGAUGUUGACUUCAUCCAAUACAUAUCCUACACAAAGUAAUUCAGCUCAGGUGAGAACCUCAAUAAUUCUGUUUUUCCAGCUAAAGUAAAAUAAUGGUACUCUGCAUUUGCAGAAGAAAAAUUAGCUAGAUGCUCAUUUUGUCCAGCUACUAGUAAAGACUAUGGCAAACAUAAAAACUUGGAUAUAUAUUAAGCAGAUUAGUAUUUUUGACAUUUCCCAAUCACAUAAGUGUUCUUUGUUUUUCUAAAAUGACCUACCUAGAUAGAGCAUGGAGGAGAUUGAGGGCAUAAUUUGUUUGAUCAUUAGCUGUUUUUUCUUAUCUUGCUUUUUUGACUGAGUAGCACUUGGUCCAAAAAUAUUCUCAAGAUACUACCAACUGGUGCUGGACAAUCAGCCAGCUUCCUUCAGAUAUUGAUCUCCAGUUUUAGUCCUCUGGACCAUGUCCAGGUCUUUCAAACUUUGACACAAGUCUCUGUGGUCUUCUCUUUCCAAAGGUAAUGAUGAAAAGUUCUUUCAAAUGCCACUUUCACUUACACACUUUUCAGUGCAAUUAUUUUUCUGGUACCGCAUUUCACAAACAUUUUCAAAACUUUAGAUACAUUUUUGUUAUAUGGCAUUCAGAAGUGAAUUUGCAAAUAUGAACAUUGUCAUCAUUAUGCAUUUUAAUCUUUUAGUCUUUAAUUCAGCAUUUCAUGUUACAUAACCCAGAUUUCUGCUAGCAUUUGUUUUCCUUUAGAUUGUCCAGAAGAAACUAUGUGACAGAUUUACACAAACACAACCUUUUCAAGUAUUUUUUCUCUUUCGAAAUUGUUUGCACCUUAUGAUACCUUUCACUUUUUCACAAAUAAUUCAUUUUGAGUGGCUGUCACAUUCUGGAUGCAGUCUGUAAUCUUUUAAAAUUCCUUUGCUUUCCCAUCUUGUUUGAUAUCAUUUUUUAAAUCACAAAUUUUUCCUAGUAUUUUAAUGUCCAGGUCAUUAAUAUAGAUUAGGAUGACCAACUGCUUUAGCAUUAAUAAGCUACCCACUCCAAACUAAACUGCAUGUCCUUUUAAACUGUUUAUGUUUUCAAAGCAAGUGUACAGUACUUUUAUUUUGAAUGUAUAAAUCCCAGUGCUUUCUCUAAAUACCUUAUCAUGAAUCUGAAAUAUACUGUAUGUAUGUAACAGAAAUAUCAGUUCACUUUAGGAACCUACUAUUUUGUAAGUGUUUGUUGGCGAUUCUGACAAAGAAGAGUACAGUCAUUAUCCCACAGGUGGUAGCUUUGUACCAUUGGCUCCUCAGCUACUGUACUGUACACCAAGUGUCUGAACCUGUGUUACCUUAAUGAGCUGGAUUACUACUGCAACGACACGUCUAUCUAUAGGAUAAAACUAACUUGUCUCAUGAUGGUCUAAACCCAGUUCAUGUUCCCUAUUAGAAAAAUCUUUGUCAUGCCAAUUUGUUUGGCUAAGCCCCAACACUCAAUAUUUUCUAAGGUUUGGGGAUAAGACGUACUGUAGUAUUAAAGGGUAAAUUAUUAUUUUACUAGAGGAGGUUUAACAGACUAAGUAUAUAUUGUAUAUAAAACUGUGUCAACCUCCCAAAGUAUAGUACAUGAUUUCUUUAAUAAACAGUAAUGGCAAUAUAUAAUAUUAUGCGUUGCUGCCUACUAGAUUUUUUGUUGUUUUAUUUCUUCCUUUUAUGGUUCCGUUAAUCUGGAUUACUUCUUAAAAUUGUAAAAUGUGAAGUGAUCAAUAUCAAAACACAAAAGUGAUGAAUUUGCAUGAAUAUUUGAUUUCUCAUAAACAUAAGUGCUUCUGUUGGAAAGUUACAAACUGUUACAUUUUUAUAUACAGUACUGUAAAAUACAGGUCCCUACCACAAUAAAUGGGAAACUCCUCAUAUCAGAAAGCACAGCUACAAAAAUCUGUCAGAAUACAAUCAGAAAAGAUAAUUUUUUUUUACCAUCAUGUUGAUUUAUUGAUUUAAAAUAAAAAUAAUUUAUACAAAAUAUGGGUAUCGACUAGAUUAAGAGAACAAACAAACAAACAAACAAACAAACAAACAAACAAUACCACAACUUCC